This 1531-nucleotide ribosomal RNA is filed under the name Escherichia coli. RNAcentral's name for it is "bacterial LSU rRNA". It matches the Rfam family "Bacterial large subunit ribosomal RNA", at positions 1 to 1578 of the family's 2925-position model. Lineage: Bacteria; Pseudomonadati; Pseudomonadota; Gammaproteobacteria; Enterobacterales; Enterobacteriaceae. The record is from RNAcentral.
UUAAGUGACUAAGCGUACACGGUGGAUGCCUAGGCAGUCAGAGGCGAUGAAGGGCGUGCUAAUCUGCGAAAAGCGUCGGUAAGGUGAUAUGAACCGUUACAACCGGCGAUACCCGAAUGGGGAAACCCAGUGUGUUUCGACACACUAUCAUGUCAUGAAUACAUAGUGGCAUGAGGCGAACCGGGGGAACUGAAACAUCUAAGUACCCCGAGGAAAAGAAAUCAACCGAGAUUCCCCCAGUAGCGGCGAGCGAACGGGGAGGAGCCCAGAACCUGAAUCGGCUUGUGUGUUAGUGGAAGCGUCUGGAAAGUCGCGCAGCAAAGGGUGAUAGCCCCGUACACUAAAAUGCACAGGUCGUGAGUUCGAUGAGUAGGGCGGGACACGUGACAUCCUGUCUGAAUAUGGGGGGACCAUCCUCCAAGGCUAAAUACUCCUGACUGACCGAUAGUGAACCAGUACCGUGAGGGAAAGGCGAAAAGAACCCCGGCGAGGGGAGUGAAAUAGAACCUGAAACCGUGUACGUACAAGCAGUGGGAGCACCUUCGUGGUGUGACUGCGUACCUUUUGUAUAAUGGGUCAGCGACUUAUAUUUUGUAGCAAGGUUAACCGUAUAGGGGAGCCGUAGGGAAACCGAGUCUUAACUGGGCGAAUAGUUGCAAGGUAUAGACCCGAAACCCGGUGAUCUAGCCAUGGGCAGGUUGAAGGUUGGGUAACACUAACUGGAGGACCGAACCGACUAAUGUUGAAAAAUUAGCGGAUGACUUGUGGCUGGGGGUGAAAGGCCAAUCAAACCGGGAGAUAGCUGGUUCUCCCCGAAAGCUAUUUAGGUAGCGCCUCGUGAACUCAUCUUCGGGGGUAGAGCACUGUUUCGGCUAGGGGGCCAUCCCGGCUUACCAAACCGAUGCAAACUCCGAAUACCGAAGAAUGUUAUCACGGGAGACACACGGCGGGUGCUAACGUCCGUCGUGAAGAGGGAAACAACCCAGACCGCCAGCUAAGGUCCCAAAGUCAUGGUUAAGUGGGAAACGAUGUGGGAAGGCAUAGACAGCCAGGAUGUUGGCUUAGAAGCAGCCAUCAUUUAAAGAAAGCGUAAUAGCUCACUGGUCGAGUCGGCCUGCGCGGAAGAUGUAACGGGGCUAAACCAUGCACCGAAGCUGCGGCAGCGACGCUUAGGCGUUGUUGGGUAGGGGAGCGUUCUGUAAGCCGUUGAAGGUGGCCUGUGAGGGUUGCUGGAGGUAUCAGAAGUGCGAAUGCUGACAUAAGUAACGAUAAAGCGGGUGAAAAGCCCGCUCGCCGGAAGACCAAGGGUUCCUGUCCAACGUUAAUCGGGGCAGGGUGAGUCGACCCCUAAGGCGAGGCUGAAAAGCGUAGUCGAUGGGAAACAGGUUAAUAUUCCUGUACUUGGUGUUACUGCGAAGGGGGGACGGAGAAGGCUAGGCUAGCCGGGCGACGGUUGUCCCGGUUUAAGCGUGUAGGGGGUGUGACCUGGUAAAUCCGGUUNCGAACGAUGGAAACAUCUUCGGGUUGUGAG